Molecule: ribosomal RNA, 468 nt
Filed under: uncultured bacterium
Lineage: Bacteria
Description: partial 16S ribosomal RNA
Rfam family: Bacterial small subunit ribosomal RNA
Source: RNAcentral
GACGAACGCUGGCGGCGUGCUUAACACAUGCAAGUCGAACGGAAAGGCCCUGCUUUUGUGGGGUGCUCGAGUGGCGAACGGGUGAGUAACACGUGAGUAACAUGCCCUUGACUUUGGGAUAACUUCAGGAAACUGGGGCUAUUACCGGAUAGGAGCUCCUGCUGCAUGGGGGGGGUUGGAAAGUUUCGGCGGUUCGGGAUGGACUCGCGGCUUACCAGCUUGUUGGUGGGGUAGUGGCUUACCAAGGCUUUGACGGGUAGCCGACCUGGGAGGGUGGCCGGCCACAUUGCGACUGCGGUACGGCCCAGACUCCUACGGGAGGCAGCAGUGGGGAAUAUUGCAGAAUAAGCGGAAGCCUGAUGCGGCAACGCCGCGUGCGGGAUGACGGCCUUCGAGUUGUAAACCGCUUUCGCCUGUGACGAAGCGUGAGUGACGGUAAUGGGUAAAGAAGCACCGGCUAACUACGUG